Molecule: ribosomal RNA, 473 nt
Filed under: soil bacterium 10V-15
Lineage: Bacteria
Description: bacterial SSU rRNA
Rfam family: Bacterial small subunit ribosomal RNA
Source: RNAcentral
AGGACGAACGCUGGCGGCAUGCCUAAUACAUGCAAGUCGAGCGGACUUGAAGAGAAGCUUGCUUCUCUGAUGGUUAGCGGCGGACGGGUGAGUAACACGUAGGCAACCUGCCCUCAAGCUUGGGACAACUACCGGAAACGGUAGCUAAUACCGAAUACUUGCUUYCUUCGCCUGAAGGRAGCUGGAAAGACGGAGCAAUCUGUCACUUGAGGAUGGGCCUGCGGCGCAUUAGCUAGUUGGUGAGGUAACGGCUCACCAAGGCGACGAUGCGUAGCCGACCUGAGAGGGUGAUCGGCCACACUGGGACUGAGACACGGCCCAGACUCCUACGGGAGGCAGCAGUAGGGAAUCUUCCGCAAUGGGCGAAAGCCUGACGGAGCAAUGCCGCGUGAGUGAUGAAGGUUUUCGGAUCGUAAAGCUCUGUUGCCAGGGAAGAACGUCCUUGAGAGUAACUGCUCAAGGAGUGACGUACC